GGAUGCGAUCAUACCAGCACUAAAGCACCGGAUCCCAUCAGAACUUCAAAGUUAAGUGUGCUUGGGCGAGAGUAGUACUAGGAUGGGUGACCUCCUGGGAAGUCCUCGUGUUGCAUUCC
RNAcentral lists this ribosomal RNA (119 nucleotides) under Hordeum vulgare subsp. vulgare (domesticated barley). The record is from RNAcentral. Lineage: Eukaryota; Viridiplantae; Streptophyta; Magnoliopsida; Poales; Poaceae.